Molecule: long non-coding RNA, 271 nt
Filed under: Phasianus colchicus (ring-necked pheasant)
Lineage: Eukaryota; Metazoa; Chordata; Aves; Galliformes; Phasianidae
Description: lncRNA (ENSPCLG00000007109.1)
Source: RNAcentral
GUUGGGUGAAUCUUUUUCAUUCUCACUAUUUUUUAAAACUGAAGCUGGAUGUGUUUUUGUAGUUGUUACAGUGGCUAGAAAGAUCUGGUGCCAAGAGAAGAACAUGUGAACCAGAACUGCUUUCCUUUCCUUCCUGCACGAUGCUGAGUGAAGAGAUCACAAGUGAAAGUUAAACUACAGAGCUGAACCCUAGGAAUCCAAAAUGAAAGGCUGUUUCCUUUCUUCUGUCCUAAAGAAGCUUAGACAAUUUAGGAAAACAAUCUAGUACCAU